RNAcentral lists this ribosomal RNA (447 nucleotides) under uncultured bacterium. RNAcentral describes it as "partial 16S ribosomal RNA". It matches the Rfam family "Bacterial small subunit ribosomal RNA", at positions 29 to 523 of the family's 1533-position model. The record is from RNAcentral.
AGUGAACGCUGGCGGCAGGCCUAACACAUGCAAGUCGAACGCCCCGCAAGGGGAGUGGCAGACGGGCGAGUAACGCGGUGGCAUAUUCCCUUUGGUUCAGGAUAGCCGCGGGAGACUGGGACUAAUACUGGAUAAGAUCUACCGAUGAACGAUUUAUCGCCGAAGGAUUAGCCCGCGUAAUGUUAGUUAGUUGGUGAGGUAACGGCUAACCAAGACAAUGAUCUUUAGCUGGUCUGAGAGGAUGAUCAGCCACACUGGAACUGAGACACGGCCCAGUCUCCUACGGGAGGCAGCAGUGAGGAAUAAUCGACAAUGGGCGCAAGCCUGAUCCAGCCAUGCCGCGUGAGUGAUGAAGGCCCUAGGGUUGUAAAACUCUUUUAGUGGGGAAAAUAAUGAUGGGACCCACAGAAAAAGCUCCGGCUAACUUCGUGCCAGCAGCCGCGGUAA